UACGUAGGGUGCGAGCGUUAAUCGGAAUUACUGGGCGUAAAGCGUGCGCAGGCGGUUCGUUAUGUCCGAUGUGAAAGCCCCGAGCUCAACUUGGGAAUGGCAUUGGAAACUGGCGGGCUGGAGUGUGGCAGAGGGGGGUGGAAUUCCACGUGUAGCAGUGAAAUGCGUAGAGAUGUGGAGGAACACCGAUGGCGAAGGCAGCCCCCUGGGCCAACACUGACGCUCAUGCACGAAAGCGUGGGGAGCAAACAGG
Molecule: ribosomal RNA, 253 nt
Filed under: uncultured bacterium
Lineage: Bacteria
Description: partial 16S ribosomal RNA
Rfam family: Bacterial small subunit ribosomal RNA
Source: RNAcentral